GACGAACGCUGGCGGCGUGCUUAACACAUGCAAGUCGAGGGUAGCAAUACACUGGCGCAAGGGUGCGUAACGCGUAGAUUAUCUGCCCCAUACACUAACAUAACGCUUGGAAACGGGUGCUAAUAUUAGAUGAGGUGCUUCGGCAUCAAAGUUUCGACGGUAUGGGAUGAGUCUGCGUCUGAUUAGCUAGUUGGUAGUGUAAUGGACUACCAAGGCGACGAUCAGUAGCUGGUCUGAGAGGACGAUCAGCCACACUGGAACUGAGACACGGUCCAGACUCCUACGGGAGGCAGCAGUGAGGAAUUUUGCGCAAUGGACGAAAGUCUGACGCAGCGACGCCGCGUGUGGGAUGAAGGGGCUACGCCCUGUAAACCACUGUUACCCGGGAUGAUAAUGACAGUACCGGGAGAAUAAGCCCCGGCUAACUCCGUGCCAGCAGCCGCGGUAAU
RNAcentral lists this ribosomal RNA (449 nucleotides) under uncultured bacterium. Its description in RNAcentral is "bacterial SSU rRNA". It matches the Rfam family "Bacterial small subunit ribosomal RNA", at positions 28 to 524 of the family's 1533-position model. The record is from RNAcentral.